This 1257-nucleotide long non-coding RNA is filed under the name Macaca mulatta (Rhesus monkey). Its description in RNAcentral is "lncRNA (ENSMMUG00000062561.1)". The record is from RNAcentral. Lineage: Eukaryota; Metazoa; Chordata; Mammalia; Primates; Cercopithecidae.
UGUUUUCCAGCAAUAAUCCACUACUAGGUGCAGGAAGAAUAGACAAUUAUUUUCUUUACCAAGAAUUUAAAUUUUUACAGGAGGAAAGAAAAAUCCAGGAGGGUGGAAAUGUUUAUAAAGAAGAAUUUUAAUGAUGGACAAUGGAAUCUAAGCUGCAAGGAAGGAAAUAAGGGCAAGGUGGGUGGUUAGUAAUCAGAAAAUGGCCAAAAGAUUGAAUUUUCAGUGAAAGAAAAAAGUAGCUAGAGAUGGAAGAUGGAUCACGGGAGAGGCAAAUCUGGAAUGAUGGUAGGUAGUGGUCAUGAGUAGUGUGCUUACACUUGAUAUUUCAGAGACAGUGCCACUAUUGAAAUCAUGGAAUUAGGUUGCAUAAUGUAGGUUGCUCCUACAGCCAGGGAGACAUUGGUGUGGGAUCACCUACAGAAAUGAGGAAGACCAGCUGCACAAGAAUGGCAAUAAGAGUGGGACAAAGAAUACAAUGGGUCAGGUGCUAAAAUAAUCAAUUAAUUUGGAGAAGUAAACGGUGACUCUUGGAGGGCAGCAAUCAUGAAAGGCAGUGGGCAGUAAAAUCUGGUGUCACAAGCAUCCAAGGAUCUCGGAGUUUGAAGAAAAAUGCGGGAAAUAUCAUUUGGAAGAGCAAAGGGUAGUAAAGAGGUCACCUAUGUUUCCUGCAGUGUUUCCUGGGAUGUUAGAGAAUAACCAGUCUUUACUAAAAAUUGCUGCUCACCUAGUGGUAAGAGAUGUCCCAAAAGCAUCUGGUCAAGGAACUGCUUCUUGAACGGGUGGAAUAAGAGAACUUACUAUGACCAGAGUGGCAAUAUCAGGGGAUGUCAGAUUCAGUAAGUGUUUGAGAAAUGGUUGAGGAUAUUAGAGAGUUUGCUGACCAUCAAUAACAAGUUUAAAGGAUUGCAGAAUAAGGGUGUGCACCUGACUGAAGGCUCUAAGGAGCAUCACGUGGAUGAAGUUAGUGAUAAUCUGGGAGGCACAGGUGUUUCCUGUGACUGGGAUGUGAACCACGGGCACAUUAGACUCACCUUGGAGGAGCUGUGUAACCAGUUUCACUCGCAUGCUGGGGAGCCACGCAGUCUACUCUCUCCAGCAGCUCCUGAUGAGGUGAGGUGGUUAGUAGGUGACACUGAUCCAACCUGGCGAUGGAAUCCUCUCUGAAAAAUUAAGAAUAAUAGCACUGAGAGAAGGAAUUGAUGAGAAUAGUGGACAUGGAACCAAGAAGUCACAUAGAGUUGGAUCCAUUGUUGGCAG